AUUGAACGCAGGCGGAAUGCUUUACACAUGCAAGUCGAACGGCAGCACGGACUUCGGUCUGGUGGCGAGUGGCGAACGGGUGAGUAAUGUAUCGGAACGUGCCCAGUCGUGGGGGAUAACGUAGUGAAAAUUACGCUAAUACCGCAUACGAUCUAUGGAUGAAAGCGGGGGAUCGCAAGACCUCGCGCGAUUGGAGCGGCCGAUAUCAGAUUAGGUAGUUGGUGGGGUAAAGGCCCACCAAGCCAACGAUCUGUAGCUGGUCUGAGAGGACGACCAGCCACACUUGAGCUGAGACACGGUCCAGACUCCUACGGGAGGCAGCAGUGGGGAAUUUUGGACAAUGGGCGAAAGCCUGAUCCAGCCAUUCCGCGUGCAGGAUGAAGGCCCUCGGGUUGUAAACUGCUUUUGUACAGAACGAAAAGGUUUCUACUAAUACUAGGAGCUCAUGACGGUACUGUAAGAAUAAGCACCGGCUAAUUACGUGCCAGCCGCCGCAGUAA
This 500-nucleotide ribosomal RNA is filed under the name uncultured bacterium. Its description in RNAcentral is "partial 16S ribosomal RNA". It matches the Rfam family "Bacterial small subunit ribosomal RNA", at positions 30 to 523 of the family's 1533-position model. The record is from RNAcentral.